CAGCAGCCGCCGCGGUAAUACGAAGGGUGCAAGCGUUACUCGGAAUUACUGGGCGUAAGGCGUGCGUAGGUGGUGGUUUAAGUCCGUUGUGAAAGCCCUGGGCUCAACCUGGGAAUUGCAGUGGAUACUGGAUCACUAGAGUGUGGUAGAGGCUAGUGGAAUUUCCGGUGUAGCAGUGAAAUGCGUAGAGAUCGGAAGGAACAUCUGUGGCGAAGGCGACUAUCUGGGCCAACACUGACACUGAGGCACGAAAGCGUGGGGAGCAAACAGGAUUAGAUACCCCAGUAGUCCCUGUCUCUUAUAC
RNAcentral lists this ribosomal RNA (304 nucleotides) under uncultured bacterium. Its description in RNAcentral is "partial 16S ribosomal RNA". It matches the Rfam family "Bacterial small subunit ribosomal RNA", at positions 506 to 807 of the family's 1533-position model. The record is from RNAcentral.